GAACUGCGAAACGUAAUGUGACCUGCACUCUUCGUGAAUCAUCCAAUCUUUGAACGCACUUUGCACCUCGUGGCUUAUGUCACUUGGUAUACUUGUUUGAGUAUUCAAAACACCCUCAUUUCCCUUUCGGGGCGAAAAUGGACUUGAGAGUUCGACCAUCCUCUUCUGGUUGGUCGUCUCUUUAAAUGCAGGCCAACAAGGCAUGUCUUAGCUUGCAUUUCAUGCAAUGCUUUAGGGCAACUAUUGGGAUAACAUCCUAACGAUAGUGUCGCCUUAUGAGCAUGGCUUUGACAGCCUCGGUCAUCUUAUCUGCGUCUAAACCAUCAAUAACUUGAGGUGGAGACUAUGAUUACAGCAAUGUUAAAUGAAUCUCAAAUCAAGUAGGGAUACCCGCUGAACU
This 400-nucleotide unclassified non-coding RNA is filed under the name uncultured fungus. Its description in RNAcentral is "sequence contains ITS1". The stretch from base 1 to 106 matches the Rfam family "5.8S ribosomal RNA", at positions 50 to 154 of the family's 154-position model. The record is from RNAcentral. Lineage: Eukaryota; Fungi.